GAAACUGUNUGACUUGAGUGCAGAAGGGGAGAGUGGAAUNCCAUGUGUAGCGGUGAAAUGCGUAGAUAUAUGGAGGAACACCAGUGGCGAAAGCGGCUCUCUGGUCUGUCACUGACGCUGAGGCUCGAAAGCGUGGGUAGCGAACAGGAUUAGAUACCCUGGUAGUCCACGCCGUAAACGAUGAGUGCUAGGUGUUAGGCCCUUUCCGGGGCUUAGUGCCGGAGCUAACGCAAUAAGCACUCCGCCUGGGGAGUACGACCGCAAGGUUGAAACUCAAAGGAAUUGACGGGGGCCCGCACAAGCGGUGGAGCAUGUGGUUUAAUUCGAAGCAACGCGGAGAACCUUACCAGGUCUUGACAUCCCGAUGCUAUUCUUAGAGAUAGGAAGUUACUUCGGUACAUCGGAGACAGGUGGUGCAUGGUUGUCGUCAGCUCGUGUCGUGAGAUGUUGGGUUAAGUCCCGCAACGAGCGCAACCCUUAUUGUUAGUUGCCAUCAUUAAGUUGGGCACUCUAGCGAGACUGCCGGUAAUAAACCGGAGGAAGGUGGGGAUGACGUCAAAUCAUCAUGCCCCUUAUGACCUGGGCUACACACGUGCUACAAUGGUCGGUACAACGAGUUGCGAGCCGGUGACGGCAAGCUAAUCUCUGAAAGCCGAUCUCAGUUCGGAUUGGAGGCUGCAACUCGCCUCCAUGAAGUCGGAAUCGCUAGUAAUCGCGGAUCAGCACGCCGCGGUGAAUACGUUCCCGGGCCUUGUACACACCGCCCGUCACACCACGAGAGUUUGUAACACCCGAAGUCGNUGAGGUA
RNAcentral lists this ribosomal RNA (808 nucleotides) under uncultured bacterium. Its description in RNAcentral is "bacterial SSU rRNA". It matches the Rfam family "Bacterial small subunit ribosomal RNA", at positions 629 to 1437 of the family's 1533-position model. The record is from RNAcentral.